RNAcentral lists this ribosomal RNA (1212 nucleotides) under metagenome. Its description in RNAcentral is "bacterial SSU rRNA". It matches the Rfam family "Bacterial small subunit ribosomal RNA", at positions 276 to 1498 of the family's 1533-position model. The record is from RNAcentral.
ACGAUGACUAGGGGAUCUGAGAGGAUGACCCCCCACACUGGUACUGAGACACGGACCAGACUCCUACGGGAGGCAGCAGUAAGGAAUAUUGGUCAAUGGAGGCAACUCUGAACCAGCCAUGCCGCGUGCAGGAAGACAGCCCUCUGGGUCGUAAACUGCUUUUAUUCGGGAAUAAACCUAUUUACGUGUAGAUAGCUGAAUGUACCGAAGGAAUAAGGAUCGGCUAACUCCGUGCCAGCAGCCGCGGUAAUACGGAGGAUCCAAGCGUUAUCCGGAUUUAUUGGGUUUAAAGGGUGCGUAGGCGGCUUAUUAAGUCAGGGGUGAAAGACGGUGGCUCAACCAUCGCAGUGCCUUUGAUACUGAUGAGCUUGAAUGAACUAGAGGUAGGCGGAAUGUGACAAGUAGCGGUGAAAUGCAUAGAUAUGUCACAGAACACCGAUUGCGAAGGCAGCUUACUAUAGUUUUAUUGACGCUGAGGCACGAAAGCGUGGGGAUCAAACAGGAUUAGAUACCCUGGUAGUCCACGCCCUAAACGAUGAAUACUCGCUGUUAGCGAUAUACAGUUAGCGGCUAAGCGAAAGCGUUAAGUAUUCCACCUGGGGAGUACGCCCGCAAGGGUGAAACUCAAAGGAAUUGACGGGGGCCCGCACAAGCGGAGGAGCAUGUGGUUUAAUUCGAUGAUACGCGAGGAACCUUACCCGGGCUUGAAAGUUAGUGAAUGAUCUAGAGAUAGAUCAGUGAGCAAUCACACGAAACUAGGUGCUGCAUGGCUGUCGUCAGCUCGUGCCGUGAGGUGUUGGGUUAAGUCCCGCAACGAGCGCAACCCCUAUGUUUAGUUGCCAGCACGUUAAGGUGGGGACUCUAAACAGACUGCCUGUGCAAACAGAGAGGAAGGAGGGGACGACGUCAAGUCAUCAUGGCCCUUACGUCCGGGGCUACACACGUGCUACAAUGGAUGGUACAGAGGGCAGCAAGCUGGCAACAGCAAGCAAAUCUCAAAAAGCCAUUCACAGAUCGGAUAGAGGUCUGCAACUCGACCUCUUGAAGUUGGAUUCGCUAGUAAUCGCGUAUCAGCAAUGACGCGGUGAAUACGUUCCCGGGCCUUGUACACACCGCCCGUCAAGCCAUGGAAGUUGGGGGUACCUAAAGUAUGUAACCGCAAGGAGCGUCCUAGGGUAAAACCGAUAACUGGGGCUAAGUCGUAACAAGGUA